GGCACCUACGGGCCGGGGGCCGCGUGAAAACGAGGGGUGGUGGGGUUGGUCGGAGUCAUGGGGCGGAAAGGGCGCGUAGGCGGGUUGGCAAGGCAGGUGGGAAAGCUCCGGGCUCAACUCGGAGAGGGCACCUGAGACUGCUAUGAUGAGAGGCCGGUAGGGGACCAUGGAAUUCCUGGUGUAGCGGUGAAAUGCGCAGAUAUCAGGGGGAACACCGGUGGCGAAGGCGGUGGUCUGGGCCGGCACUGACGCUGAGGAGCGAAAGCGUGGGGAGCGAACAGGAUUAGAUACCUGGUAGUC
RNAcentral lists this ribosomal RNA (300 nucleotides) under uncultured Enterococcus sp. RNAcentral describes it as "bacterial SSU rRNA". It matches the Rfam family "Bacterial small subunit ribosomal RNA", at positions 496 to 795 of the family's 1533-position model. The record is from RNAcentral. Lineage: Bacteria; Bacillati; Bacillota; Bacilli; Lactobacillales; Enterococcaceae.